CCGUAAACGGUGGGCACUAGUUGUGGGAACCUUCCACGGUUUCUGCGACGCAGCUAACGCAUUAAGUGCCCCGCCUGGGGAGUACGAUCGCAAGAUUAAAACUCAAAGGAAUUGACGGGGCCCCGCACAAGCAGCGGAGCAUGCGGCUUAAUUCGACGCAACGCGAAGAACCUUACCAAGGCUUGACAUAUACAGGAAUAUGGCAGAAAUUCCAUAGCCGCAAGGUCUGUAUACAGGUGGUGCAUGGUUGUCGUCAGCUCGUGUCGUGAGAUGUUGGGUUAAGUCCCGCAACGAGCGCAACCCUCGUUCUGUGUUGCCAGCAUUUAGUUGGGGACUCGCAGGAGACUGCCGGGGUUAACUCGGAGGAAGGUGGGGAUGACGUCAAAUCAUCAUGCCCCUUAUGUCUUGGGCUGCACGCAUGCUACAAUGGCUGGUACAAACGGCUGCGAUACCGCAAGGUGGAGCGAAUCCGAUAAAGCCAGUCUCAGUUCGGAUUGGGGUCUGCAACUCGACCCCAUGAAGUCGGAGUUGCUAGUAAUCGUAGAUCAGCAACGCUACGGUGAAUACGUUCCCGGGGCUUGUACACACCGCCCGUCACGUCACGAAAGUCGGUAACACCCGAAGUCAGUGGCCCAACCGUAAGGGGGGAGCUGCCGAAG
Molecule: ribosomal RNA, 659 nt
Filed under: uncultured Actinomycetes bacterium
Lineage: Bacteria; Bacillati; Actinomycetota; Actinomycetes
Description: bacterial SSU rRNA
Rfam family: Bacterial small subunit ribosomal RNA
Source: RNAcentral